CUCAGUGGUUCCGGCGCCUGCCUGGCAAGCUCAAAGUCCGGAGUUUGAUCCCCAGUAGCAAACAAAACAAAACAAAACGAACAAAAAAUCUACUAUCUAUUGAACAAAGCAUUGAACCAGGCACAGUGUUUUGUAUUUUGCAUUUAUUAUCUCGUCUAAUGCUAAUAGCAACUUCCGGCAAGAAAACUGAAUAAACAAAAAUUGGAUAACCAAGUUACCCAGAUGAUGAAUGCACUCACCUAUGGUCUCGUGAUCAGCAGUCAGAGGGAGACAAGGCCAAGACCUGAUUUACAGAUGGCUCUGCACAUUAUGAAGGCACCACCAAAAAGUGGACAGCAGCAGCACUACAGCUCCUUUCCAGGACAUCCCUGAAGGACAAUAGUGAAGGGAAAUCAUCAUGGCUUCUAGUCCGGACCUACUGAGCAAACCCUUCAGCUUUCUGACAUGGACACACACAGGACUCUACACUGAGCUCCAGACCUUCAGCCUUCAACUGGAUCCUCUGACUCUCCAGUUACAGAUGACGCUUUUGCUAUCUUCUACCCUUGACUCCACAGGCAGCCACUAUGAAAAAUGUGAUAGAAAUAAGAGACCCAGAGGAGAUCUGAUAUUCACUAAGCUAUGAAGGAGCAUAUUCCUGAGUCCCACUCAGCAAUCAAGAGACCUGGCUGUCUUGCUCUCCACUUUCUCCAGAAGACACCGCUACAGAGGCUUUUACUUAGGAAGGCCUUCCACCCAGACCUGCACCAAGAACCCUGCUGUCUCAUGGCAGUGCUGUCCUCAUUUUUUGAUUAGCAGCCUCCUUGGCCAUACAUGUCUGCCUAAACAGUAAUCUGACUUUUACUCCCCGACACCCCGCUCCUCCUACCGCACUGGUCACUGUGCUCUAAACGGUGAAUCCUGGCUUGAUACCUGUUUUCUCCUUCCUUUUGUCUAGUAAUUUCUGUAUUUCUAUCAGCCCUAGUCCCC
Molecule: long non-coding RNA, 969 nt
Filed under: Heterocephalus glaber (naked mole-rat)
Lineage: Eukaryota; Metazoa; Chordata; Mammalia; Rodentia; Bathyergidae
Description: lncRNA (ENSHGLG00100032938.1)
Source: RNAcentral